UGGCUUUACUAAGAACACUGUUCAGGGACCUGACAUUCAUUCCUAAAUCUACAGUCACUGGCCAGAAACGACUAUUUUUCUCCUAGAAGAAGUUUUCCUGGAUUCAUCACAGUCGGAAUCAAGGAGAAAUUUUAGACCAUGAGAUGGAAGCCAGAAUGAUGUGGAUCCUACUCCAAAACUUGGCUUGUACAGCAGCCAAUUUUUUUUCCAAAUGGAACUCAACCAGCACUGUGGCAUGUAGUUUUUCAGAAGCUGUAGUGAACUCUGCAGAAAACUCACCAACUUGCAGAUACAGAAGAGAACAAUAUCCUAAAUCAGCAUCACAAAGGGAAAACUAAGGCACCUUUGACUGAAGCUGUUUUGAGUCCCCAAUAAAAACAAAGAAAUAUAUGGGAAAGAAAAUAAA
RNAcentral lists this long non-coding RNA (406 nucleotides) under Dromaius novaehollandiae (emu). Its description in RNAcentral is "lncRNA (ENSDNVG00000007050.1)". Lineage: Eukaryota; Metazoa; Chordata; Aves; Casuariiformes; Dromaiidae. The record is from RNAcentral.